Molecule: ribosomal RNA, 460 nt
Filed under: uncultured bacterium
Lineage: Bacteria
Description: partial 16S ribosomal RNA
Rfam family: Bacterial small subunit ribosomal RNA
Source: RNAcentral
CCUACGGGAGGCAGCAGUGAGGAAUCUUGGUCAAUGGACGAGAGUCUGAUCCAGCCACGUCGCGUGAAGGAUGACUGCCCUAUGGGCUGUAAACUUCUUUUAUAUGGGAAUAAAAUGUUCCACGUGUGGGAUUUUGUAUGUACCAUAUGAAUAUGGAUAGGCGCACUCCGUGCCAGCAGCCGCGGUAAUAGGGAGGAUCCGAGCGUUACCCGGAUUUAUUGGGUUUAAAGGGAGCGUAGGUGGAUUGAUAAGUCAGUUGUGAAGGGUUGCGGCUCAACCGGAAAAUUGCAGUUGAAACUGGUAGUCUUGAGUACAGUAGAGGUGGGCGGAAGUCGUGGUGUAGCGGUGGAAUGCUUAGAUAUCUCGAAGAACUCCGGUUGCGAAGGCAGUUCACUGGACUGCAACUGACACUGAGGCUCGAAAGUGUGGGUAUCAAACAGGAUUAGAUACCCGAGUAGUC